AUCCCUCAGCCCCCAUCGUUUUUUGUUAAGCGAUUGGCUUGGGUCUGGAUUUGGGCGUCUUGCCAAUGCGCUUCUUCAAGUGCUUGGCUCGCCUUAAAGAGAUUAGCUGGACCCUAUUCCGAGCUGGUUCAACUCGACGUGAUAAUUUCAUUCGUCGAGGUAUGGUCGGCCUUACGGCUGAUCAGCCAGGUGUAGGAAUCCGGUCUGCUUCCAACCUUCGUCUGAAGCCAGCAAUGGUGUGAAGCGGAAUUUUUUAAUG
RNAcentral lists this unclassified non-coding RNA (259 nucleotides) under uncultured Tilletiopsis. RNAcentral's name for it is "sequence contains ITS2". The record is from RNAcentral. RNAcentral also lists the same sequence under 1 other name. Lineage: Eukaryota; Fungi; Basidiomycota; Exobasidiomycetes.